This is a microRNA precursor of Catharus ustulatus (Swainson's thrush), 85 nucleotides long. The record is from Ensembl. Lineage: Eukaryota; Metazoa; Chordata; Aves; Passeriformes; Turdidae.
GGCCUGGCUGUAUUCUACAGUGCAUGUGUCUCCAGUGUGAGUAAGUGACUGGAGAUGCGGCCCUGUUGGAAUAACAUCCAGUGCC